RNAcentral lists this long non-coding RNA (601 nucleotides) under Nicotiana benthamiana. RNAcentral's name for it is "long non-coding RNA (NBEN_LNC014523)". Lineage: Eukaryota; Viridiplantae; Streptophyta; Magnoliopsida; Solanales; Solanaceae. The record is from RNAcentral.
AUCGUAAUAUAAAAUACCUCCGGUGACAGUGUUAAUUCCUGGUUGAACUAGAUUUGAACCUGUACUAGGGUUAACUUGAGAAUCUACACUUGUCCCUCUUGCUGCGCUUGCAUUUGAAAAAAUCUAGCCCUAUCUGUAGGUUGUGUUUUUAUGUGCCUAGUCAAACUACCUGUGCCGCUACGGUCUUCAGUAAAUUUAUGAACCAGUAAUUUCCCACAAGUUUUACACUUAGCCUUAUCUAGUUCUCUUACUUGAGUAAAAAAAUUCCAAACUAAUGAUGUUUCUUGAUGUUUAGCAUGUUGACAAGUUUUACACUUACCCUUAUUUAGUUCUCUUACUUGAGUAAAAAAAAUUCCAAACUAAUGUUGUUUCUGUACGUUUAGUAGGUUGUCUACUAAAAGUUAGAGUUUCUACAAGUGGGUGUGCCGGUGCAUUACUUGAGUUAUAAACUAGAUUAGUAUGUGGAUCAUCUAAAUCUGGUGCUGGGGUUUCAUCAUCAUCAUUUUCCUCUAAUAUAGGUUCAUUAGGACAAAGAACAUUCAUAAUUUCAUUAUCUAAUCUAUCACCUACUGCAACAUCAUGUAGAAAUUCACUAUCGGNN